ACGUAGAACAUCCAUUAAAAUUCAGGACACAGAAACAAAGAAUUCAAGAAAUUUUAAAUACGAGAUAAGCUCGGAAAAGCCGCUAGUUUUAAACAUUCAAUUCACACGAUAGACGAAAUUCCAGUCAACACCAGGCAAUAUCGUUACCCACCAAUACAUCAAGAGGAAAUUCAAAAACAAAAACCUGAUUCACAGGGAAAGAAACAAUAUCGGUGCAAUUCUCGAAUCCACCCCACUCGUAGGGCUCACACGCACGUCGCUAUCGCCCUGGCUCGUAACAUGAGGAUCACCGACAUCGAAGGAGAAAUUCUGGAUACGGUCAUCCGAGGAUAUUUAAUUCCGGACCAUCUUUCGAAGUCGGGCAUCUGAAGCUAACGGGAGUUCGAGGAAAAGCAGUCAAUAGCAGUCCGAGGACCAAUUGACAGCGAGAGCAAAGCAUCUACCAGCAAGCAGCCGAGUGCAGUCCGAGGACCACCGGGACGCGGAACAACGACAUCCACAGCAUGCAGGUAACUCUACUGCUGUAAGUCCUAACUCGCAUGUAUCAUAACAAAUUGUAAACCAGAAUCUUGUAUGUCGGAACAAGGUAACGAUAUAGAUCGUUUUCGAUUACCAUAUACUAGAGUCAUUUC
Long non-coding RNA from Hylaeus anthracinus, 632 nucleotides. RefSeq lists it as uncharacterized. Lineage: Eukaryota; Metazoa; Arthropoda; Insecta; Hymenoptera; Colletidae. The record is from RefSeq and is a predicted model, not a curated record. The transcript is spliced from 3 exons.